RNAcentral lists this ribosomal RNA (253 nucleotides) under uncultured bacterium. RNAcentral describes it as "partial 16S ribosomal RNA". It matches the Rfam family "Bacterial small subunit ribosomal RNA", at positions 524 to 776 of the family's 1533-position model. The record is from RNAcentral.
UACGUAGGGUGCGAGCGUUAAUCGGAAUUACUGGGCGUAAAGCGUGCGCAGGCGGUUCGUUAAGUUCGUUGUGAAAGCCCCGGGCUCAACCUGGGAACGGCAAUGGAAACUGGCGGACUCGAGUGUGGCAGAGGGGGGUGGAAUUCCACGUGUAGCAGUGAAAUGCGUAGAGAUGUGGAGGAACACCGAUGGCGAAGGCAACCCCCUGGGCUAACACUGACGCUCAGGCACGAAAGCGUGGGGAGCAAACAGG